This 2745-nucleotide long non-coding RNA is filed under the name Homo sapiens (human). RNAcentral's name for it is "HSALNT0173997". Lineage: Eukaryota; Metazoa; Chordata; Mammalia; Primates; Hominidae. The record is from RNAcentral.
UCAAUUUAUUUGGAUCUCUAAUUUCUCUGAGGAAUAUUUUGUUGGUUUGAGUAUUAUGUUGUACUAUUUAUGUUAAUUUAUUCCUAAGUAUUUUGUUCUUUUUUGAUACCAUUAUUAAUUAAAUUAUUUUCUUAAUCUUAUUUUUGGAUUGUUCAUUGCUAAUAAUAUAAAAAGACAAUUAGACAAUUAGUUGUGUAUCUUGAGUUUGUAUCCUGUGACCUUGCUCAAUUUGUUUACUUGUUUUAAUAGUUUUUUUUUCUAAUACAAAGCCACCUGUCUUCAAAUAAAGGUCAUCUUACUUCUUCCUGUCUGAUCUAUAUGACUUUAAUUCCUUUUUCUUGACUUACUGCACUGGAUGGAAACUUCAGUACAAUGCUGAAAAGAAGUGCUAGGGUCCAUCUAUGAUAAACUCACAGCCAACAUCAUACUGAAUGGGCAAAAGCUUGAAUCAUUCCCCUUAAGAACUGGAACAAGACAAGGAUACCCACUCUCACCACUCCUAUUCAACAUAGUACUAGAAGUCCUAGACAGAGCAGUCAUGCAAGAAAAAGAAAUAAAAGGCAUCCAAAUAGGAAACCAAGAAGCCAAACAAUUUCUCUUUACUGACAAUUAUGAUUCUAUGCCUAGAAAAUCCUAAAGACUCUGCCAAAAGACUCCUAGAAUUGAAAAACCACUUUAAUACAGUUUCAAGAUACAAAAUCAAUGCACAAAAAUCAGUAGCAUUUCUAUACACCAACAGCAUCCAGGGUGCACGUGGAAUAAAAAACACAAUCCUACUCAAAAUAGCCACAAAGAAAAUGAAAUUAUCUAGGAAUACAGCUAACCAAAGAGGUGAAAGACCUGUACAAAGAGAACCACCAAACACUGCUGAAAGAAUUCAGAAAUGACACAAAUGAACAGAAAACAUUCCAUGCUCAUGGAUUGAAAGAAUCAAUGUCAUUUGAAAUGUCCAUACUGCACGAAGUAAUUUAAAGAUUCAAUGCUAUUCCUAUCAAACUACCAAUGUCAUUCUUCAUAGGAUUAGAAAAACUGUUCUAAAAUUAAUAUGGGACCAAAAACAGCUCAAAUAGCCAAAGCAAUCCUAAGCAAAAGGAACAAAGUCUCACAUUACCUGACUUCAAGUUAUGCUAUAAAGCCACAGUAACCAAAACAGCUUUGUAUUGGUACAAAAACACAUAAUGGAACAGAAUAGAAAACUCAGAAAUAAAGCUGCACAUCUACAACUAUCUGAUCUUUGACAAGGUCAACAAAAACAAGCAAUGGAAAAGGAUACACAAUUCAACAAAUGGUGCUAGGAUAACUGGCUAGCCAUAUACAGAAGAAUGAAGUUGGACUCCCACCUUUCACCAUAUACAAAAACUAAUUCAAAAUAAAUGAAAAAAAUUUAAUGUAAGACCUCAAGCUAUAAAAAUCCUGGAAGACAACCUAGUAAAUACUCUUCUCAACAUCAACCUUGGCAAAUAAUUUUUGACUAAGUCCCCAAAAGCAAUUGCAACAAAAACAAACACAGACAGUGGGGCCUAAUUAAACUGAAGAGCUUCUGCAGAGCAAAAGAAACUACUGACAGAGCAAACAGACAAUCCCUACAGAAUGGGAGAAGGUAUUCACAAACUGCAUCUGAUAAAGACCUAAUAUCCAUGAUCUGUAAGGAACUUAAGCAAAUCAGCAAGCAAAAACCAAAUAACCCCAUUAAAAAAUGGGCAAAGGACAUGAACAGACACUUCUCAAAAGAAGACACACAACUGGCAAAAAAAUGAAAAAAUCCUCAUUAUCACUUAUUAUCAGAGAAAUGCAACUCAAAACCACAAUGAGAUAGCAUCUCACACCAGUCAGAAUGGUGAUUAUUGAAAAGUCAAAAAAUAACAGUUGCUGGUGAGGCUGCAAAGAAAAGAGAACACUUACACACUUUUGUUGGGAAUGUAAAUCAGUCCAGCCACUGAAAAAAGCAGUCUAGAGAUUUCUCAAAUAACUUAAAACCAAGCUACAAGUCAACCUAGCAAUCCCAUUAUUGGAUAUGUACCCAAAAGAAAAUAAAUCAUUCUCCCAAAAGACACAUGCACUCAUAAGUUCAUCUCUGCACUAUUCACAAUACCAAAGACAUGGAAUCAACCCAAGUGCCCAUCAAUGUUUGACUGGAUAAAGAAAAUGUGGUACAUGUACACCAUUGAGUCAUAAAAAAUGGAGUUAUAAAAAUACACUAUGCAGUUAUAAAAAAUGAAAUCAUGCUCUUUGCAACAACAUGGAUGGAGCUUGAGGCCAUAAUCUCAAGCAAAUUAAUGCAGAAACAGAAAAACAAAUGCCACAUAUUCUCACUUAUAUGUGGGAGCUAUACAUUGAUCACACAUGGACUUAAAUAUGGAAAUAAUAGGCACUGUGGACCAUGAGAGGGUGGAGGGAGAGUGAAAAAAAACUAUCAAGUGCUGUGCUCACUACCUGGAUGACAGGAUCUGCACUCUAAACUUCAGCAUCAUGCAAUAUUUCCAUUUAGCACAUCUGCACAUAUAUCCUUUAUAGCUAAAAUAAAAGCUGCAAAAAUAAAAAAUAUAGUUGCUGAUGGAAAAGGAUAACUAUCUGUUGCUCUAGAUGGGGAAAGCAUGGAGAAUGGUGAAAAAGGAUAGGGAAGGUAGAAGGCACACAGGUCUACCCCUCCCCACUUGCUUUCAGCCUGUGUUGGGAAGCUGGAUUUUUCUGCACCCAGAGUAACCAACCUAUAGGGCGCUAGUGGCAUGUAUUGGGUUGUACAAG